Molecule: ribosomal RNA, 388 nt
Filed under: Dunckerocampus chapmani
Lineage: Eukaryota; Metazoa; Chordata; Actinopteri; Syngnathiformes; Syngnathidae
Description: partial 12S ribosomal RNA
Rfam family: Bacterial small subunit ribosomal RNA
Source: RNAcentral
GCCUAGCCGUAAAAAUUGAUACCCUUAGUACACACACUAUCCGCCAGGGUACUAUAAGCAUUAAGCUCAAAACCCAAAGGACCUGGCGGUGCUUUAAAACCCCCUAGAGGAGCCUGUUCUGUAACUGAUAAUCCCCACUUAACCUCACCCUCCCUUGCCAUCACCGCCUAUAUACCGCCGUCGUCAGCUUACAUUGUGAAAACCCCAUAGUGAGCGAAAUUGGUAAAACCCUAAACGUCAGGUCGAGGUGUAGUAAAUGGGGGGGGAAGAAAUAGGCUACAUUCGUUCACUAACGCACUACGAACUAAAUGUUGAAAUACAUACACGAAGGAGGAUUUAGCAGUAAGAAGAAGGUAGAGUAUUCUCCUGAAACCGGCUCUAAAGCACG